UACAGAGGGGGCAAGCGUUAUUCGGAAUUAUUGGGCGUAAAGGGCGCGUAGGCGGCCUGGCAAGUGGAAGGUGAAAUCCCUCGGCUUAACCGAGGAACUGCCCUCCAAACUGCUUGGCUUGAGUCCGGGAGAGGUGAGUGGAAUUCCCAGUGUAGCGGUGAAAUGCGUAGAUAUUGGGAGGAACACCAGUGGCGAAGGCGGCUCACUGGACCGGAACUGACGCUGAGGCACGAAGGUCAGGGGAGCAAACAGG
RNAcentral lists this ribosomal RNA (253 nucleotides) under uncultured bacterium. RNAcentral describes it as "partial 16S ribosomal RNA". It matches the Rfam family "Bacterial small subunit ribosomal RNA", at positions 524 to 776 of the family's 1533-position model. The record is from RNAcentral.